RNAcentral lists this ribosomal RNA (468 nucleotides) under uncultured bacterium. Its description in RNAcentral is "partial 16S ribosomal RNA". It matches the Rfam family "Bacterial small subunit ribosomal RNA", at positions 28 to 507 of the family's 1533-position model. The record is from RNAcentral.
GACGAACGCUGGCGGCGUGCUUAACACAUGCAAGUCGAACGGAAAGGCCCUGCUUUUGUGGGGUGCUCGAGUGGCGAACGGGUGAGUAACACGUGAGUAACCUGCCCUUGACUUUGGGAUAACUUCAGGAAACUGGGGCUAAUACCGGAUAGGAGCUCCUGCUGCAUGGUGGGGGUUGGAAAGUUUCGGCGGUUGUGGAUGGACUCGCGGCUUAUCAGCUUGUUGGUGGGGUAGUGGCUUACCAAGGCUUUGACGGGUAGCCGGCCUGAGAGGGUGACCGGCCACCUUGGGACUGAGAUACGGCCCAGACUCCUACGGGAGGCAGCAGUGGGGAAUAUUGCACAAUGGGCGGAAGCCUGAUGCAGCAACGCCGCGUGCGGGAUGACGGCCUUCGGGUUGUAAACCGCUUUCGCCUGUGACGAAGCGUGAGUGACGGUAAUGGGUAAAGAAGCACCGGCUAACUACGUG